RNAcentral lists this ribosomal RNA (253 nucleotides) under uncultured bacterium. RNAcentral describes it as "partial 16S ribosomal RNA". It matches the Rfam family "Bacterial small subunit ribosomal RNA", at positions 524 to 776 of the family's 1533-position model. The record is from RNAcentral.
UACGGGGGGGGUAAGCGUUGUUCGGAAUUACUGGGCGUAAAGGGCUCGUAGGCGGCCAACUAAGUCGGACGUGAAAUCCCCAGCUUAACUGGGGAACUGCGUCCGAUACUGGAUGGCUUGGAUUUGGGAGAGGGAUGCGGAAUUCCAGGUGUAGCGGUGAAAUGCGUAGAUAUCUGGAGGAACACCGGUGGCGAAGGCGGCGACCUGGGUCGAUGACUGACGCUGAGGUGCGAAAGCGUGGGGAGCAAACAGG